Thunnus maccoyii (southern bluefin tuna) is the source of this 3184-nucleotide long non-coding RNA. RefSeq lists it as uncharacterized. The record is from RefSeq and is a predicted model, not a curated record. NCBI's taxonomy places the organism in Eukaryota, Metazoa, Chordata, Actinopteri, Scombriformes, Scombridae. The transcript has 3 exons.
ACCUGUGAAACUGACCUCCAUAAGCUAGCUUGCCACCACUGACCAUAAACCAGCAGUGUGGAUAUUCUCCCAGUUAUUACACUUUGUUAUUACUAACUUGAAGCGCGACAAGAUGGAUUCUCGCGUGAUCUCGCGAUUCCAGCUGCCUUGCAAGGUAAAUGUCAAUCUGUGGUAGAUGAAAAAAAUUGUAGCAAUCUAAAAGGGGCAAAACUUAAUGUGAAUGAAAGGUGUUUUUUGAUUUUGGAGACAUCUGUGUGCGUGCACCUCUGCCAACCGAAGCCACAAAAAUUGCCAUGCAUCUGCGUAUGUGAUAAGGGGUUGUCUGAGCAGGUUUUAUCACAAAUGCAAUUUGGUGCCAAAAUGAGCACCAAAAUUUCACUGUGCCGCCUAAUCUGCAUAAACACAGCCUCAGCUGCACCUCUCCUCCCACGCAAGUGUGCUCCUUUGGUACCAGGAAAUUACCAAACAGGCACAGACACACAAAAAGUAGACUUGCGCUUCGGGAAGAUCGCAUAAAGACUAUGUUUGAACCAGUGAAGGCCUUGCACCUGCGGGAAAAUAGGGCAAUGCAGUCUGUAAGCAUUUAUACUUUGCAUUAGCAUGGGUUUUUCGUUAUGCAGAUAAAAUAUCCAGAUACAGAUACCAGGUAGAGACUGACUUGAAUGUAUUUAUUUAUUAAUUUCUUCUCUUAUUCUCUCAAUAUUAAUCUCAGCGAAAGUACUUAUCUCACAGUAGCUUAUAAUAAUUUGCAUUUUGCAUGUUUUGGUCCAUUUACUACAAAUCACAUCUACUGACAACCAUUUUCCAAGUUAAUCUUCAUACUAGGAUGGAUGGAAACCAAUGGUUGCCUGCCAGGUAAGAAAAGAAUGACAGGCUUUGGAAAAUGGCCGACAGUAAGUCAUUUAAGGUAAAUGUGCUAAAACAUGGAAAACCACAGUAAUGAUCCUUUAAUUCUCCUCUGUCACGACUAUAUACCUGCAGUUGACUCAAACCUCACCCACCCACAUGCAGCCAUACACCCAGGAACAAUAAAAAAAUAACUGCUGUGGUUCUGCUGCUGUCUGGACCAUCCCAGAGAAAGACAUUUCAGAGCUGCUCCUAACAAGCAACUAUGUGAGCAGGCAGCAGUGAUUAAAAUGACAUCAGCACCAUGGAAACUGCGUCGUGCCAUUCCCUCAAGGAAAAUCACAGGCCUAUUCAGAGCUGUAUUUCACUCCAGAUAAUUCGAAAUGAAUUAGUGCCACAAUUAAGACCUGAAAUGUGUUCUACUGAAGAGCAAAGGCCAGUAUUCCUUGUUCCAGCUUUUCAAAACAGGAGAUACUGACCACAGAUAGAAAUUCAGGGCAGAAGAGAGAUUUUAUUUGUCACCUGCUGGAGGCGCCAUGACUACCACUAACCACCAAAAAAAGUUCUCCGACUGACCUGCUGGGAGGCUUCAAGAUCAGGGGCCAGCUGGGCCCCUAUUACACAGCACAGUUCUUCCAUACUAGAUACCACCUGGCCCGUUGCUGUGUGGUUCCGACCUUGUCACUUUCCAAAAGGAAGCACUGAGCUUAGUGCAGCAGCGGGGGAGUGACGCAUAACUUCCCCAGAGCCUGCAGGUGGAUGCUGGGGUGGAGCUGGGUAUUUUGAAAUGCUAUAUGGACAGCAGUGGCAGCAGGUGUGCAGAAAAGCGUGAGCAGAGCACUGACUGCAUAAGUACUAUGAUUAAAAGGGUGUGUUGCAGUGAGAGGAGAAUGCCAGGUGAGUGAAGCGGUGACUCCAGUUGGGCUACCUGAACUAGCCCACAGGCUUUGCUUCAUUUCGGUCAGCCAAAAUAUUCAACAUGUAAGAACAAAACUGAAAUGGUGAGUGUUCUGAAACUUUAUUUUGACACAGAUACCCUCUUCAAGACAGGUCCUCGGGGCAAUAAACCACUUUUAUGCCCUAUCAUGCCAGUUAAUAUUGUGCAAUAUGGUGCAUACUCCCAUAAAAAAAAAUGAAUAAUGGAUGUAACCCCCUGGGUUAUCUUUCCCCAGGGCAAUUUAAUUAUAUUUCAUGUUCAGUUAUGUUCAGUUCAUUUUUAAGUUAUUUGAUAAUGUCACGCAGUUAUUGGAGUGUCUAUAGCUAUUUCAAAUGUGUGUAUUGCGAUACUACUAAAUGCACUACUAAGUUAGUUUGAAGUACAGAGCUCAACACAUAGUGGUAAGUGUAAAUACAAAGGUGCAAAUGAUACUUGUGCACCCUUAAAUGCUAAAAUGCUGUUCAGUAGCUCCACAUUCUGCAGAGUCGUGUAUAUUCUGAGUCGAGUACAGCCCUUACUCACUGACAUAUCUUUGCCUCAGUUCAUGCCAACCAGCAUGUACUUACAUGCACAGAAAGCAUCAUGUCCCUGCUCUUGACUACAUCUUUUGGUGAUUUCUAAAACAUACCAUAAAAGUGCGACUGUUUCAUGGUGUCGUGCUGAGAUUUAAAGCUUAUUGUUGCUAAUGUUCUGAAGCAGGUAUGGAGAAUCUGUCCUCAGGGGAAAUCAUGUCUCGGAUAUUGAUACAGUAUAACUCAUUGAUCCCUCUGUCUGUGAGCAGUCAUGGCUGUGACUUUAUCUUCCCUCCGAGGCCCGCAGAGAUGUAGCCACAUAGACUGACCAGGAGGCAGGACUCAUUACUUCACUUUACAGCCUGUCACAACACUGACAGCCGUGGGGAUCAUACCUGAUGUGGGAGUACAGAAAGGGAAGCAGAUGGAGGGUCGAUGAGUGUGAGUGAUGCUACACUGCCUGUCCAGGACAAGGGGAAUUCAAAGACAGGAAAUGUUCUUCAUAUGAAAACGACUAUGUAGCAAGUCCCAUUAUCCCAUUAAACAACUGGGCCUAUGAAAUGAGCAGACUGCUGUAGAACUUUAAGGACAAGGCCAUAUUAAAGGCUUUUCUUUUUUUAUUAUGCUUUUUAUUGGCAGCCAGAGGAUUUACAAAGGACUAUUAAAAUCAAGCAAGCAAACAAAAAAAAAAAAGAAAAAAAAAGCAGGAAACAUCCAGGUUCAACUCAAUUUCCAUUACAUUCAUCAUCAAGACAGUGUCUCUAUUAUCCAAGGGAAUCUUUUGCCUUACUCUUCCUUGGAUCACAAAUGAGGAGAGAGAAAAAAUAAAUACAAACAGUGGCAUAUCCAGGACAUCAUUAAUGAAUGGCAGGUGAUCAAAAUGUGUGAA